Molecule: long non-coding RNA, 4351 nt
Filed under: Panax ginseng (ginseng)
Lineage: Eukaryota; Viridiplantae; Streptophyta; Magnoliopsida; Apiales; Araliaceae
Description: long non-coding RNA (PGIN_LNC010289)
Source: RNAcentral
CCGCUUAUAUCUGUCUCUUCAGUCUAGAUCACCAUGGACCAUCUAUAUUCUGGUAAUUUUAUUCAGUUCUUAAUUUAGUGUUAAUUGUUACAAUAUAUAAUUAUACAAAAGAAUUCAAUCGCACCUAAAAAUCUUAUUCGUCAAGAAGCUUAUUUGAAAUGAAGUUUAUAUAACUCACAAAAACAGUUUUUGGCCCUCAAACACUGAAAAUGGUGUGAUGUAUUUGGAUGUCUAAAUGUUGCGAGCGCUAUUGCCCAGAGCAAAUUAUAUAUACUUUCUAUAUGGUUAAUGAAUCUGAUUGAAAUGGUUAUGAUGUCUCUUUGCAAUUUUAUAUUAAAUUGCCUUAUUUAAUGUCAAUUAGUUCAUUUUGACGAUAUUAGAUCCGACUAACUUUUUCUAUAGAUCUGAUGGAAUAGGUUAUGAUGCCCUAUUGCAUUUUUAUAUUACAUGGACUUAUUUAACAUUAAGUAUUUCAAAUUGCUCUUGUUUGUUUGUGACAAUCUAUCUUCAGAGAUUUUGAUUAUGAAAAAAUUACUGAAAAAUGUACUGAGAUAUACUAUAUAAAUGUGAAAGAAUCUUUAUGGGUCUAAAAAAGGAAAGGAAAGAGUCAAUGUCAAUAAUUGGGGGAAGUAUUUAUAUAGAAUCUCACUCUAUAUAUAUUUGUUAUUGUAUAUCUUGUGGCACUUAUUUUUCUGUGAAUGCACAACAAUUAUGAAUGUGUCUUUAUAUUGCUAUAUAUCAAUAAAUUUUAGUGGUAUGGAACAUAGACAACUUUGAUUAUAGCUUUAAAUUUUGUCAGUUAUCAAAAAUUAUGAAUACGUCUUUUUUUAUAUUGAUCUUGUUUUUUUGUCAACCUAUCUUCACUGAUCUUGAUUAUAAAAAAAUUACUCAGAAAUGUACUUACUUGCCUUGAACCUUUUAAAUGUGAGAGAAUCUUUAUGGUUCUGAGAGGAAAAAAAACGGCCAAUGUCAAUAAUUGGGGAAUUAAGAAUAUAGUCCUUCUCUAUAUAUGUAUGUAUAUGUAUGUGUGUGUGUGUGUGUGAAUGUAUGUAUGUAUUUGCUAUUGUAUAUCUUGUGGCACGUACUGUUGGAAUACACAUCAAUUAUGAAUGUGUCUUUCUAUUGCUAUGUAACAGAAAUUUUAAUGGUACAGAACCUAGACAACUUGAUUAUUGCUUUAAAUUUUUUUAAUUGAAAAAUUGAUGGUUCUUGCUAUUCGACAGAGACUGAGGACCCUCCAUGGCAUCAACAAAUUAAUGAUAUGAUUCCCUGGUCGUUGUUCAUAGCAUUUCAAAAUUUGGUACAUAGUUUAUCUACUUGCUUCUCAUGGUGUAUAUAUUUCCUUACAUGAGGUUUACAUUGUACUGAUUUUUCUAAUAUCUUUUUGUACUGUUUUUCUUACGUCUAAUAAUAUAACAUGCUCUCAUUUUCCUUACUUUUUACUUUUGUAAUGCCUCUACUAUGAGAAUUUUACAUAUGCUUUUUUUAUCGGAGUUAAAUGUUGUAUGCAAAAUGUCUUAGGGUUGGACAUAUAGUUGAGGGUAGACAAGAGACUUAUUUUACUAUGGGAUUCACCGCUAUCUAAUAAUAUGGCAUGCAAAAUGAACAACCUAAGGUAGAAGCUGCUACUCUACCGUGGUCCACACAAAAAGUAAUGAUGUUUAUAAUUUUGGAGCAAUGUUCGUGCCAAAAUUAUUAACAUGGAAUUUUUAGUUCAUGAAAUUUUAGUAGAAGAUUUAUAUGUAUUAUAUAAUAUAUAUAUAUAUGUUAUGUAUAUUUCUAACAAGAGGGAAAUUAUAUAUAUAGGAAGAUAGGAAAUGAAUCGAAUAACACUACAAGCUACCUUAGUUGUAUUCAAAUAAAAAGGCUAGUAAGUUGAUCAAAAUUAGAUAAUCCUCAUAGAAGAUUGAUUGUAUAGUUAUUUCUUUGCAUUUUGGAAUAAACUCAUUCCUACCAACUUCAAUUCUUAAACAUGUUUAUAUUUUUGUAUGUUUUCUACGACUAGAUUGUUACCCGACAAAAAUAUUAGAGCUUAUGAAUGUCCUGGGGUAACUGUUAGUCAAAAAGGUCCUCACCCACCCACUCCACUACCAAUUAUUUUUUCCUUCACCAACUCCACUCCACCACCCUUGUGUUUUUUAUUCCCACCCACUUACUCAUCUUCUCUUUUUCUUCAGCUAUAAAAGGGCAGCAAUGCUCAAAGGAAAAUACACCAAAGUUUCAUACUCCAUCCGAGAGUUUAAGGAGAGAAGGAGAGAAAAAAAAGCUUCUGUGAAGCUUUAGAUAAUAGAGAGAGAAAGGUAGUUCAAAUAAAAGGGAGUUUUAUUUGGGUUCCAUCACAUAGCUAUUGUGAUGAAGUAAUUUGGGUUUGUACUCAAAUUAAGAUAUCUUUGUAUUCUCUCAUAUUAUUCUAGUAAAUUCUUCGGAGUUUGUCCCGUGGUUUUUACCUCUUAGUUUUAGAGGGUUUUCCACGUAAAAUUCUUGGUGUCUCGUGGUUUGAUAUUUUCUACUUAUUAUUUCCUGCAGUGGUUAUUAUUUUGGUGGAGUUGCAGAUUUAUUCUGUUUGGCUUAUACUGAUAUUAUUAUCCGUCUAAUUUAUCAAAGACAACAGUAUUUGGGUGGUGUUUUUCCCAACAGCAACAAUGUACCAAGCUGCAAGAGCCAUCUUCAGGUUUGUUUCAAACCUUUUUACUCCUUGUAUUUCAUUAUUGGUCUAAAUAAAUUUGAAGGGAUCUAAUUAAGAAUAUUUUGGAAGCGUUUUGUAGUCCUUGUGCUACUUAUUUAUUGCUCAAUUAAUUAACUCCAUUUUGAUCACAUAAAGAAACUUUUUGAAAUGAGUAUAUAGGUAUCAUCACAAAUUUUAGGAUAUUUUUGUUUGAAUAUGAACUGUGAUCAUUUGUUGCCCUUAAUUCCAAAUUGAGUAAAACAAUCAACUGUGAGUUGAAGUAAUAAAUGGAGGGCCACAAAUUUAACCCUCCCCAAUUUGAUUGGAUUCAAAGCUGAUGAACUGUUAUUGACCAAAAAUGAGAAUUUUUACUUCGGACAUACUAAAAAAUUAAAAGCUUUAUUAAUUUGUAGUUAUUGAAAAAUGAAAACAUUUUUUCUGCAAUCAGCCAUCUCUCUAGUACAAGAUUUUGCAUAAGUUUCAGUGAAAACAAGAUCAAUUAAAAUUAAUGUUGUGCAUAGAGGUGAUUUAAUUGCCACAAAUGUUAUGGAGACUUGCAAUAGAGAAUGGCCUUAUGAAGUCAUUAAUAGGGAAAUGUAUGAUAUAUUUCAAUUGGGUUGAACUUUUUUCUUAUGCUUUAAAAUUUUACCUGAAGUGAAAUAUCCAUCUGAUUAAGUGUUUAUUCAGUAUUCUGAUCCUUGUUUAUUGUGUUGGUGUUUUAUUUCACGUAACCUAAGGAGCAUUUGGGGAUCAUAUUUUGGGAUCAUAUUUUUUGUGAGGCGACAAACCAUGGUUUGAGCAAGUCUCAUGUUUAAGCACUUAUAUUAGAAAAGUCGAGAUCAUCAACUCAUUUGGUGCACCAGAGGAAGUAGUUAUUUAUUGGAACAAAAACUCGACGAGAAUGCUUAAGAACAUCAGACUGCUACUUGAGAUAAUUACUUUCUUCCGAAAGCCUCUCCAAAUGUUGCCAUAUCGUUCCCAGAAUGUGAAGCACCAGAGCCAUUUUGGCUCAAGCAUUGCCCAUCCUUGGAAUCACUACGAAGUUUGGAAGAGCAAGAAGAAUUUGAGCCUUCUCGGAGGAAUUUAUUUUGAACCUUCAAAACCUCAGCUUUAUUACAACCUCAAACUCUCUCUUCACAUCUUCUUUCAAGGGGUGGUUCAAGGCCAUGUAGGGACAGAAAAUUUUGGUGCAAAGACAUUAGGACUCCCAAAGCUGCACAGAGGCAUCUUCUUCAAGGGAUGGUUCAAAGCCUAGAAGGGAUAGAAUUUUGGUACAAAACCAUUUUGGCUGCCAAAACUACAGUGCUCCUACAAGUUAUGUGGCUCCGCGUGAAAACAUAGGGUAAAAAAUACUGAAAGAGGCAGAAAUAUUAUUGUGAAUGAAGAUUUCCAGUCAUGGUAAUGUAACAAGGAAACGAGGCAUGAAGAUCGUUGUUCAUGGCAUUUCAGAUGUAAUUCAUGAAGUAUAUUUUGUCAAUAAAGAUAUGGUUUAGAUGAUAGAGUGAGCUUAAUAAUUAUUGUUCUAUCUCAUGAAUGUUUUGUUUUCAUUUUUUGAACUGUGUUUUAGUAUUCCUAUAUAUUAAAAUUUUGUCGUCAUUCUUACUUCGGCUCAUGUUUUAGAAUUCAUUUUCUAGAUGAUAGAUUUUGGUGAAACUGUUGUCAAAGUUAGUAAACCAACUAGUCUAU